This 713-nucleotide ribosomal RNA is filed under the name uncultured bacterium. RNAcentral's name for it is "bacterial SSU rRNA". It matches the Rfam family "Bacterial small subunit ribosomal RNA", at positions 80 to 789 of the family's 1533-position model. The record is from RNAcentral.
UUGCUUCUCUUGAGAGCGGCGGACGGGUGAGUAAUGCCUAGGAAUCUGCCUGGUAGUGGGGGAUAACGUUCGGAAACGGACGCUAAUACCGCAUACGUCCUACGGGAGAAAGCAGGGGACCUUCGGGCCUUGCGCUAUCAGAUGAGCCUAGGUCGGAUUAGCUAGUUGGUGGGGUAAUGGCUCACCAAGGCGACGAUCCGUAACUGGUCUGAGAGGAUGAUCAGUCACACUGGAACUGAGACACGGUCCAGACUCCUACGGGAGGCAGCAGUGGGGAAUAUUGGACAAUGGGCGAAAGCCUGAUCCAGCCAUGCCGCGUGUGUGAAGAAGGUCUUCGGAUUGUAAAGCACUUUAAGUUGGGAGGAAGGGUUGUAGAUUAAUACUCUGCAAUUUUGACGUUACCGACAGAAUAAGCACCGGCUAACUCUGUGCCAGCAGCCGCGGUAAUACAGAGGGUGCAAGCGUUAAUCGGAAUUACUGGGCGUAAAGCGCGCGUAGGUGGUUUGUUAAGUUGGAUGUGAAAUCCCCGGGCUCAACCUGGGAACUGCAUUCAAAACUGACUGACUAGAGUAUGGUAGAGGGUGGUGGAAUUUCCUGUGUAGCGGUGAAAUGCGUAGAUAUAGGAAGGAACACCAGUGGCGAAGGCGACCACCUGGACUAAUACUGACACUGAGGUGCGAAAGCGUGGGGAGCAAACAGGAUUAGAUACCCUG